AAACCGUUUAGGGGUAAACCUGAGAAACCCGAAAGGUCGAAGGGAGAAAUUCAUUCGCGUUUCGCCGUUGGCGUGAGACGGUCGUGUGACGGAAAACGUUCGCGUUUUCCGCACCUUUCGUUUUUCGAUCCGAUAGCGAACGCGUGCACUUUUCUCCUGGUAGGACGUCGCGAUCCGUUGGGUGUCGGUCUACGGCUCGCGGUGGAGCCCGGAUGUACGGCUUGCCGUUACGUUCGGACCCGUGUGUCCCGGCUGACUCGCUCGACGGUAUACGAAAGGUUUAAGGCCGCUCUUUGAGCGUUCGGCUCGUCGCAAGCGCGUCAGAUGUGUCGGUAAUCGGACCUAGUGCCGGUUCUGACCUCUGGCGACUGUUGGCGGCGAAGUUCUCGAACAGACUUUUGACCGAUCUGCGACGCUAUAGCUUUGGGUACUUUCAGGACCCGUCUUGAAACACGGACCAAGGAGUCUAGCAUGUGCGCAAGUCAUUGGGAAUCACUAAACCUAAAGGCGCAAUGAAAGUAAAGGUCCGCCUUGCGCGGACUGAGGGAAGACGAGCGGUUUACCCUUAAAAGUGGCCGCUCCGCAUUCCCGGGGCGUCUCAUUCUCAUCGCGAGAAGAGGCGCACCAAGAGCGUACACGCUGGGACCCGAAAGAUGGUGAACUAUGCCUGGUCAGGACGAAGUCAGGGGAAACCCUGAUGGAGGUCCGUAGCGAUUCUGACGUGCAAAUCGAUCGUCGGAACUGG
This 745-nucleotide ribosomal RNA is filed under the name Laparocerus abona. RNAcentral's name for it is "eukaryotic LSU rRNA". It matches the Rfam family "Eukaryotic large subunit ribosomal RNA", at positions 402 to 914 of the family's 3401-position model. The record is from RNAcentral. Lineage: Eukaryota; Metazoa; Arthropoda; Insecta; Coleoptera; Curculionidae.